Molecule: ribosomal RNA, 609 nt
Filed under: uncultured bacterium
Lineage: Bacteria
Description: bacterial SSU rRNA
Rfam family: Bacterial small subunit ribosomal RNA (bases 1-533)
Source: RNAcentral
CCUACGGGAGGCAGCAGUAAGGAAUAUUGGUCAAUGGGCGCAAGUCUGAACCAGCCAUGCCGCGUGCAGGAUGACGGCCCUCUGGGUUGUAAACUGCUUUUAUAGGGGACGAAAAAAGGGCUUUCUAGCUCGUCUGACGGUACCCUAGGAAUAAGCACCGGCUAACUCCGUGCCAGCAGCCGCGGUAAUACGGAGGGUGCAAGCGUUAUCCGGAUUUACUGGGUUUAAAGGGUGCGUAGGUGGGUCGGUAAGUCAGCGGUGAAAUCUUCGAGCUUAACUCGGAAACUGCCAUUGAUACUAUCGAUCUUGAAUCAUCUGGAGGUAAGCGGAAUAUGUCAUGUAGCGGUGAAAUGCUUAGAUAUGACAUAGAACACCAAUUGCGAAGGCAGCUUACUACGGAUGCGAUUGACACUGAGGCACGAAAGCGUGGGGAUCAAACAGGAUUAGAUACCCUGGUAGUCCACGCCCUAAACGAUGGAUACUCGACAUUUGAGAUAUACUUUAAGUGUCUGNGAGAGANAUAGUAUACCACGNGGUAAGUAGAGUUGNGAGAGUUAGAACGACGAGAGAGAGNGNGNGAGNGNGACGACGACGACGAGGAGGAGGAGG